GUUGACUUGCUGGUUUACACGCUGAUGUGUCCAAGAAAAUAAAAAACGGGUGUAGUCUUUUGAAUCGGUCCCAAAUGCAUCACACCCGAAUACAAUUUCACUCUCACCUCAAACCCUACCACUAUUUUCCCCUCACAGCUACCUCGCCCGAAAUGCAAAAAACCUCUCACGAAUCAUCUCAUGCGAGGAGAUCUAAGGCUACAAGAUUGAAGCCCACCGUACGCAGCAGAAUCGACCGUCGCUGAGUCCUUCUUCUCCGGCAAAAUCUCAGCUGUAGGGGUUCCAGCCUCGACUUGAUUUCGACAAAUUUCAAUUUCGCCUCUCCACUUGCCGAUCAUUUGCAGGACCCUAAAGGCGUGUUUCUUAUACUUUAUGUGAUUGAAGCAAUUAUAAAAAUAUUAAUAUUUUUUGCAUAUCGUAGCUUGAUGCGUUGAUUUGGCUCGUUGAAUCCGAAGGGUGAGAGGGAAAGAGCUCUUAAAAAGCAGCUGGAGAAAAACUACAACAAAAUAAAGUAAGUUGUUCAUGACUUUGUACCAAGAUUGUUCCUUUCGCAGUUUCCAUGCCUCAAGUAAGGGAUGGAGGGGUGGCGUGGGGAGCGGGAAGUGGGAGAAAGUGAUGAUUAGAGUAUUAUUGUGAUCUUCGAUUUUGGGGUUUUUGAUUUUGUUUGGUAAUUUUUCACAAAAAAUUGAAUGACGAAGGUCACUUUUUCCAAAAUAGACUAUAGAUCUCGUGAUAUUG
Molecule: long non-coding RNA, 738 nt
Filed under: Olea europaea (common olive)
Lineage: Eukaryota; Viridiplantae; Streptophyta; Magnoliopsida; Lamiales; Oleaceae
Description: long non-coding RNA (OEUR_LNC003931)
Source: RNAcentral